GACGAACGCUGGCGGCGUGCUUAACACAUGCAAGUCGAACGGAAAGGCCCUGCUUGCAGGGUCCUCGAGUGGCGAACGGGUGAGUAACACGUGGGUGAUCUGCACUGUACUUCGGGAUAAGCUUGGGAAACUGGGUCUAAUACCGGAUAGGAGCCAUCUUCAGUGUGGUGGUUGGAAAGUUUUUUCGGUGUAGGAUGAGCUCGCGGCCUAUCAGCUUGUUGGUGGGGUAAUGGCCUACCAAGGCGGCGACGGGUAGCCGCCCUGAGAGGGUGUACGGCCACAUUUGGAUGGUGAGACGGCCCAGACUCCUGCAGGAGGCAGCAUGGGGGAAUAUUGCACAAUGGGCGCAAGCCUGAUGCAGCAACGCCGCGUGGUGGAUGAAGGCCUUCGGGUUGUAAACACCUUUGGCUAGGGACGAAGCUUUUUUGUGACGAUACCUAGAUAAGAAGCACCGGCUAACUACGUG
Molecule: ribosomal RNA, 466 nt
Filed under: uncultured bacterium
Lineage: Bacteria
Description: partial 16S ribosomal RNA
Rfam family: Bacterial small subunit ribosomal RNA
Source: RNAcentral